CUGGUGUCCCCAGAGGCUGAAGUCCUCUAUUGCUCUACAGAUCAGGCUGAGCAGAGGCAAGCACAGUGCAGCUUCUUGCCGGUGUGCCACAGCCUUGCACCGGGGGACCGCUGCUCAGGGUGAGAGGAUAGUUUUCUCCCAACAGCCUGUUCAGUCCUUGAUCUCU
RNAcentral lists this small RNA (166 nucleotides) under Chrysemys picta bellii (western painted turtle). RNAcentral describes it as "TUC338 (ENSCPBG00000019612.1)". The record is from RNAcentral. Lineage: Eukaryota; Metazoa; Chordata; Testudines; Emydidae.